RNAcentral lists this ribosomal RNA (109 nucleotides) under bacterium. The record is from RNAcentral.
UCUGGUGCUCCUACCGGUGAGGAAACACCCGUUCCCAUCUCGAACACGGCAGUUAAGCUCAUCCGGGCCGAUGAUACUUCAAUUGAGGGAAAGUAGGUCAGUGCCAGUU